This is a long non-coding RNA of Gambusia affinis (western mosquitofish), 139 nucleotides long. RefSeq lists it as uncharacterized. NCBI's taxonomy places the organism in Eukaryota, Metazoa, Chordata, Actinopteri, Cyprinodontiformes, Poeciliidae. The record is from RefSeq and is a predicted model, not a curated record. The transcript is spliced from 2 exons.
GCGAUGGCGGCCACGCCGGCCAGACAGGAAGGGCCGAUUUCAGACCACAGCAAGACGAUGACGACCAGCGCCUGAAGCGGUCCGACCCAAAGAUCGUCCGGACCAAACAUCGUCACUGACCUUCUGGUAGAUCAUGUGA